This 460-nucleotide ribosomal RNA is filed under the name uncultured bacterium. RNAcentral's name for it is "partial 16S ribosomal RNA". It matches the Rfam family "Bacterial small subunit ribosomal RNA", at positions 338 to 795 of the family's 1533-position model. The record is from RNAcentral.
CCUACGGGAGGCAGCAGUGAGGAAUAUUGGUCAAUGGGCGUAAGCCUGAACCAGCCAAGUCGCGUGAGGGAUGAAGGUUCUAUGGAUCGUAAACCUCUUUUAUAAGGGAAUAAAGUGUGGGACGUGUCCUAUUUUGUAUGUACCUUAUGAAUAAGGAUAGGCUAACUCGGUGCCAGCAGCCGCGGUAAUACGGAGGAUCCGAGCGUUAUCCGGAUUUAUUGGGUUUAAAGGGUGCGUAGGCGGCCUUGUAAGUCAGCGGUGAAAGUCUGUGGCUCAACCAGAGAAGUGAGGUUGAAACGGGGGGGCUUGAGUAUGUUUGAGGCAGGCGGAAUGCGUGGUGUAGCGGUGAAAUGCUUAGAUAUCACGCAGAACCCCGAUUGCGAAGGCAGCCUGCCAAGCCAUGACUGACGCUGAUGCACGAAAGCGUGGGGAUCAAACAGGAUUAGAUACCCUUGUAGUC